CACAAGAAAUACAAGAGCGGCAGCACUGCGCUGUGAGAAACUUGCAGGAGGGUGCAAGAAGAGGGCAAACAUACCAGCGUACUUUGCAGGAGGUCCAAGGCUCAGGGACUUGUUGAGCAACAGCUAAAUAUAGCGGAUGCGGUCACCCAGAGUUGAAGAAAGCAAGAGUAUAUGCCAAGAAAAGAUGAACUGAAAAAUAAACACAAACCUUAUAUGCAGAAAAUACACAGUGUAUUUGUUCUGAACCAAACACAACAACCUUCUGCCAACUGAUGUGGCCCUUCCAGGAGCUGUAAGGAUGUGCUGUGCUUGUUAGAGGUGAUCUAAAUUCUGCCCUCAAGAGGAAGAAGCACCCAGAAAAGAAACCUGUAUCAAUUAAAAGUACUGA
Molecule: long non-coding RNA, 388 nt
Organism: Pezoporus occidentalis (night parrot)
Lineage: Eukaryota; Metazoa; Chordata; Aves; Psittaciformes; Psittacidae
Exons: 4
Source: RefSeq, a predicted model, not a curated record